UGGAGCUGUGCUUCACUUAGUUCUGAACUCACCAGCCUGACACGUAGGGUCUGCACACGCACCAUCAAAAGCUGACGUGCAGAAACCACCUGAGUAAGAGGAAUAUGAAGCCCACAGGCUCUACAGCUAUCAUAAGAGCCCAUCAUGGAAAACCAAGGACUAAAUAUUUCUUUUGUUAACUUAAAACUUUAUUUCUAGUUUACUUUCAAUCAAAUAUUACUGAUCCAUUUCUGAAGAAGCAUCUGUUAGUGAUUGGUGCUCAGUCUCAGAGCAGUUCUUCACAGAACUGUGACGAUGAUGUCCUUCCCAUGGUCUCAGAGCAGUUCUUCACGGAGCUGUGAGGAUGAUGUAGGAUGACAUCCUUUCUGUGGUCUCGAGCAGUUCACGGAGCUGUGAGGAUGACGUCCUUCCCAUGGACUCAGAGCAGUUCUUCGUGGAACCGUGAGGAUGAUGUCCUUCCCGUGGUCUCAGAGCAGUUCUUCGUGGAACUGUGAGGAUGAUGUCCUUCACGUGGACUCAGAGCAGUUCUUCGUGGAACUGUGAGGAUGACGUCCUUUCUGUGGUUUCAGAGUCGUUCACGGAACUGUGGAGUUGACAUUUUUCCCACGGUAUCAGAGCAGUUCUUCAUGGAACCGUGAUGAUGAUGUCCUUCCUUUGGGGGCUUAGUUUCGUCCAGUUGUGUUCCUUGCCACCCUGUUGUUACCUGAGUAUAACCAGUACUGUGACAGGUGGAUUCACGUCAGUGUUUUGACCAAUACCAUUGAAUCGUUUUAUCUGACCACAUUAACGUUUUUUGUAAUUCAUCAAAUAAUUGUAAUUCAUAGUCGAAUAUAAUCUGUUAACACUUGGCAUCAAAUGGAGUGAGUUUCCAGAGAGUAAUCUGGAAUAAGCAAAGUUGGACAUUCACGGUAUGUCCUGGUUACCUGAAUUAUAUUGUUAAAUUAUCCUGUAAGAUUUGUUUUAAAAAUUGCUUUAAUAAUAACUUUUAAAUUUUCUUAAAAAUUUAUACAGCCCAUUCUGUAUAUUUAUUACAUGAAAGGUCAUAACUUGAGUCUGUGUCUUGGGCCCUGUUUCUCUAACUCCCAGGAAUUCAGUUGCUACCUGUGGCUGAGUUUGUGUCUCUCCCUGCCUGUCAGUGGACCCUUGUGCUGUGAGAGGGGCCUUGGUGGCGUCCAGGCAGGAGGGGUCUGCCCGGCUGUGGGAGAGCUUUCCCCUCAGUCCUGGCCCUCCUGCCUGUGGGCUCUGAGGUGCCGCCAUGCCCAGUCCUGGGUGGACCAAGCUUUGCUGUAAGAACGCCAGGCUCCUGUCACUGCUUCCUCUGCCUCUCGCUACCACUGCCGAAGGUCUUCAGGGUCACGAGAUGAGCACUAUCGAUCAGGGAGCUCUCACGAUAAUCAGGCGAAGUUGUGACUGUUGUCUCCUGUGUCAGAAGAAAAAACGGAGUCGAAGGGAUGACGGAACUCACCCAGUGGUCGAGGAAAGGCUGUGAGUCUCCGAAUGCACCCGGUGGUGGAGGAAAGGCUGUGAGUCAGUCGUGCUGUAACGAAUCUCUCGGUCCACACAGGCUCGUGUGAUCAGCCACUUCUGCAUCCUCCUCAGUCACCGUCUGCCUGGCCUCCUGGCUCUGCUCUUCUUUCUAGAGAGGUUUUAUGGCCUCGGGGAGUGUCACCCGUGCAAACGAGAAGGACGCAGCUGAGAGCCUGAAAGAAAAGCUGGUGCCACCUCCAGGGCGCCCCCUGCUGCCUUCUCCAAGGAGGCUUUGACCCCAGGAAAGCGUGUGGGGGUGGAAUGAAGGAGGAUUUGCUCCCAAAUCCAACCUCCGUUAUUUCACAGAGGUCUUAAGCCCUGACACAUAUUGAGACCUUCUCUUACUCACGUCAGUGUCUCGGAGGCCCCUGUCGAGUUCGGGAGUGUGGAGGUGCCCGCGUGCUCUCAGCCUGCGGUGAACGCUUCCCUCACUGUGUGUCAAUGCCACUGUGCAGGCGCCCUGUCUGAACACACAACACACCCAAACGUGCACGCAGGCGUGAGUUCACGUCGCUUCAGUUCUCAUGGAAGCCAGUGGGGGUCUGUCUUCCAUUUUAUAGAUGAGGAAACUGAAAUUCAGUGAUGCUGCCCCAUGGCUGACGAUCACACGGGGCCGCUCCUCGCAGGAGGAUGCAAGCCCACCUUUGGCCUGACAUCUUACCACACAGGAGAGGAGAUCCACGUCAGUCAGCAUUGCGUCUGUUUCCUACAUUCUCUCUCCAUGAUGCUGCAGCAGGGUUGAUAAACCCUGUGUUUACCUUCAGAUCGUGCCAUCUUCACAAUCCCAGCUACUAGUCUACGAGAUAAGUGUGGCGGGUUGUGGUUGUCUCACGCUCUUCUCUCUCGAUAAAAGCCUGAGAGAGGUGGGUGUAGCAGGAGAUGGUGAUCUCUUGGCUUUGGGCGCGUUUUCUGUUCACCUGUGCACCUUACCUCACCUCUUCAAAGGCAGGAAGGCGUCGGGGAGAGAGGCACAGGGCAGAGGGAGUGGCUGAGAGUGGGAGGGUGGGUAAAGGAGACCGACUCUUCAGCUCAGAGACUGCAGGCUCUGCCCUGGAGGGGAAGCCAGACCCAACGUGAGAAGUAUGGUUCAUUUAUCCUGUUUCUGUAAAAUUGUGAAAUACGGCACCUCUUCAUAUACAAUCCCUCCCGUUCCCCAUCCUGACUCAUGUGUCCACUGCCGUUAUAACCACACGACACUCUGUCCAUCUGUCUGCAUAUCUGUGUAUUCG
Long non-coding RNA from Chlorocebus sabaeus (green monkey), 2756 nucleotides. RefSeq lists it as uncharacterized. The record is from RefSeq and is a predicted model, not a curated record. Lineage: Eukaryota; Metazoa; Chordata; Mammalia; Primates; Cercopithecidae.